UACGAAGGGUGCAAACGUUGCUCGGAAUUAUUGGGCGUAAAGCGCACGUAGGCGGCUAUCUAAGUCGGAUGUGAAAUCCCUCGGCUUAACCAAGGAAGUGCACCCGAAACUGGAUAGCUUGAGUACAGAAGAGGAUCGCGGAAUUCCCGGUGUAGAGGUGAAAUGCGUAGAUAUUGGGAGGAACACCAGUGGCGAAGGCGGCUCACUGGACCGGAACUGACGCUGAGGCGCGAAAGCGUGGGGAGCAAACGGG
RNAcentral lists this ribosomal RNA (253 nucleotides) under uncultured bacterium. RNAcentral's name for it is "partial 16S ribosomal RNA". It matches the Rfam family "Bacterial small subunit ribosomal RNA", at positions 524 to 776 of the family's 1533-position model. The record is from RNAcentral.